Molecule: ribosomal RNA, 423 nt
Filed under: uncultured bacterium
Lineage: Bacteria
Description: bacterial SSU rRNA
Rfam family: Bacterial small subunit ribosomal RNA
Source: RNAcentral
AAGACCUUGCACUUUUGGAGCGGCCGAUGUCUGAUUAGCUAGUUGGUGGGGUAAUGGCCUACCAAAGCUUCGAUCAGUAGCUGGUCUGAGAGGACGGCCAGCCACACUGGGACUGAGACACGGCCCAGACUCCUACGGGAGGCAGCAGUGGGGAAUUUUGGACAAUGGGCGCAAGCCUGAUCCAGCCAUGCCGCGUGAGUGAAGAAGGCCUUCGGGUUGUAAAGCUCUUUCAGCCGGGAAGAAAAGGUUGCGACUAAUAAUCGCAAUUCAUGACGGUACCGAAAGAAGAUGCACCGGCUAACUACGUGCCAGCAGCCGCGGUAAUACGUAGGGUGCGAGCGUUAAUCGGAAUUACUGGGCGUAAAGGGUGCGCAGGCGGUUUUGUAAGUCAGAUGUGAAAUCCCCGGGCUUAACCUGGGAACU